GGGAUACUGAAAGUCAUUGCUGAGAAAACAGACUUUUAUCAGAGGGUGGCUCGUGUGCUCUGGAAUCAGCUGAACAAGGAGACCCGUGAGCAUCACAUCACCUGUGUAGAGCUGUUCUACCGCCUGCACUGCCUGGCCCCGACCGCCAACAUCUGUGAGGACAUCAUCUGCCAUGCCCUCCUGGACCCCGACAAGGGAACAAGGUGGAAGCUCUGUUUAAUUUUCCGUGAUCUGGCACCUGACACGAGAAAUCCAGGGUAGUCGUGUGACAUCUCACAACCGCUCCUUUGACAGGUCCUUGUUUGUUGUUCUGGAUAGCCUGGCUUGCACAGACGGUGCUAUCAGUGCAGCAGCCCAGGGCUGGCUGGUUCGAGCGCUCUCCCUCGGGGAUGUGGCACGCAUCCUCGAACCCAUGCUCCUGCUGCUGCUCCAGCCCAAAACCCAGAGGACCUCCAUUCAGUGCCUCAAGCAGAACUGCUGUGCUCCCAUCCCCGUCGGGGGCAGGGCAUACUCCAAGCGAGCAGCCUUGCUGGCAGCCUUCCAGCCAGAAAGCCCCAGGUCUAAUGCCAGGUUAAGCCUAGUGCGAGCAGACUCAGACAAGACACAGGCUUCCGAGUCAUUUUCCAGUGAUGAGGAGGCUGAAGUGGAGCUCCAAGCCAUUACCACAUCGAGGCUGUUGAAGCAGCAGAGGGAGAAGCAGGAGACAGUCGAGGCCUUGUUCAAACACAUCUUGCUCUACCUGCAGCCCUACGACUCCCAGAGGGUCCUGUACGCCUUCUCGGUGCUGGAGGCUGUGCUUAAGACCAACCCCAAGGAAUUCAUUGAGGCUGUGUCCAGGACAGGCAUAGACACCAGCUCCA
RNAcentral lists this long non-coding RNA (860 nucleotides) under Rattus norvegicus (Norway rat). RNAcentral's name for it is "long non-coding RNA NONRATT006477". Lineage: Eukaryota; Metazoa; Chordata; Mammalia; Rodentia; Muridae. The record is from RNAcentral.